This 433-nucleotide ribosomal RNA is filed under the name uncultured bacterium. RNAcentral describes it as "partial 16S ribosomal RNA". It matches the Rfam family "Bacterial small subunit ribosomal RNA", at positions 29 to 507 of the family's 1533-position model. The record is from RNAcentral.
AACGAACGCUGGCGACAGGCCUAACACAUGCAAGUCGAGCGAGGACUUCGGUUCUAGCGGCGGACGGGUGAGUAACGCGUGGGAAUGUGCCCUUCUCUACGGAAUAGCUCUGGGAAACUGGGAGUAAUACCGUAUACGCCCUAUUGGGGAAAGAUUUAUCGGAGAAGGAUCAGCCCGCGUUGGAUUAGGUAGUUGGUGGGGUAAUGGCCUACCAAGCCGACGAUCCAUAGCUGGUUUGAGAGGAUGAUCAGCCACACUGGGACGGAGACACGGCCCGGACUCCUACGGAAGGGAGCAAAGGGGGAUCUUAGAAAGUGGCGGCAGCCCUGAUCUUGCCAUGCCGGGAGAAUGAUGAAAGCCUUAGGGUUGUAAAGCUCUUUCAGCUGGGAAGAUAAUGACGGUACCAGCAGAAGAAGCCCCGGCUAACUCCGUG